This 494-nucleotide long non-coding RNA is filed under the name Homo sapiens (human). RNAcentral describes it as "HSALNT0375161". The record is from RNAcentral. Lineage: Eukaryota; Metazoa; Chordata; Mammalia; Primates; Hominidae.
UUUUUUCAAGUUUUAUUUUAAGUUCAGUGGUCCAUGUUCAGGUUUGUUAUAUAGGUGAACUCAUGUCAUGGGAGUUUGUUAUACAGAUUAUUUCACCAUCCAGGUAUAAAGCCUAGUACCUAGUAGCUGUUUUUUUGAUUCUGUCCCUCUUGCCACCUUUCACCCUCCAGUUGGCCCCAGUGUCUGUUUUUCCCCACUAUGUGUCCAUGUGUUCUCAUCAUUUAGCUCCCAGUUAUAAGUGAGAAUAUGUGGUAUUUGGUUUUCUGUUCCUGUGUUAGUUUGCUAAGAAUAAUGGCCUUCAGCUCCAUCCAUGUCCCUGCAAAGGAUACAAUCUCAUCCAUUUUUAUGGCCACAUAGUAUUUCAUGGUGUACAUGUACCAUAUUUUCUCAAACUAUUCUACCAUUGAUGAGCAUUUAGGUUGAAUCUAUAUCUUUGCUAUUGUGAAUAGUGCUGCAAUGAAAAUGUUCCUUUUUCUCCCCAACCUCACUAGCAC